AAGGAUCAUUAGUGAACAAACCGGUGUGGCUAAGUUUGCUGGCCUUUUCGGAGGCAUGUGCACGGCCCGCCAUUGUUUCAUCCUUCUCCACCUGUGCACUUCUGUGGGUCCACUCCAGCACACUGUGUGUGCUGGACUCUGGUACCUACGUUUUCACUACCCACACAAUUGAAUGUUCAGAAUGUAUGUAUCGGGCAUUCUUGCCCAUAAAACCUUAUACAACUUUCAACAACGGAUCUCUUGGCUCUC
RNAcentral lists this unclassified non-coding RNA (249 nucleotides) under uncultured fungus. RNAcentral describes it as "partial contains 18S rRNA, ITS1, 5.8S rRNA, ITS2 and 28S rRNA". Lineage: Eukaryota; Fungi. The record is from RNAcentral.